Molecule: long non-coding RNA, 642 nt
Organism: Stegodyphus dumicola
Lineage: Eukaryota; Metazoa; Arthropoda; Arachnida; Araneae; Eresidae
Gene: Dpm3
Source: RefSeq, a predicted model, not a curated record
UUCACAAAUUAAACAAGAAAAUUACAGAAAAUGUUGAUAAAUACCAAAAUUUGAGUAAAACUAGUUUUUAAAUUCAUAAUCUAAAAUUAAAUACUUAACAGGUAAAUAAAAGGCUGAUUGCAUAUCCGUCCUCCUUGUUGAGAAUCUUUGUUCUAGGUUGAGAGUCCUCUUGUGCUUUUCCAUACCCAAAUAAUCUAACCCGGAAUGUGCAGAAGAAUUCCACUGGAUUCCAAACCACAUCUUGAAUCCCAGCAGAUGAACUAGCUGCAUAUGCAUUUUUGUCGAUUUUUCUCAUGUCCAGCAUGAAAAUAAGUCAAUUUUACUUGGAGGAUCCUACAUGAAGGUAACCCCUCUUAAGCAGAUAGCCAUCACGUGUUUCACCAUAAUUGAUUAAACAAGCAAAACAAAAUUCCUCUCCUGAAAUCCAAUACAAGAUUUUGAAUGGCAAUGGUAACGUUGUACAGAAAAAACAUUUUUAUCUCCAGCACGAAAUCAAAAUGGCAAAGGAAGAUUUAAAAGCAAAAGGAUUCAAAUUUUGACUUGUGAUAUGUUAUAUUUUAAAGGACAUUCACUGUUAUUUUUAUGGAUCAUUCCACAGAAAUAUAUGUAUGUUAUUUUUGUAAAAUAAACAUUUAAUACCAA